Molecule: ribosomal RNA, 406 nt
Filed under: uncultured bacterium
Lineage: Bacteria
Description: bacterial SSU rRNA
Rfam family: Bacterial small subunit ribosomal RNA
Source: RNAcentral
UGGGGAAUAUUGCACAAUGGGCGGAAGCCUGAUGCAGCGACGCCGUGUGAGGGAUGAAGGCCUUCGGGUUGUAAACCUCUUUCAGCAGGGACGAAGCGUGAGUGACGGUACCUGCAGAAGAAGCGCCGGCCAACUACGUGCCAGCAGCCGCGGUAAGACGUAGGGCGCGAGCGUUGUCCGGAUUUAUUGGGCGUAAAGAGCUCGUAGGCGGCUUGUCGCGUCGACUGUGAAAACCCGCGGCUUAACUGUGGGCUUGCAGUCGAUACGGGCGGGCUAGAGUUCGGUAGGGGAGACUGGAAUUCCUGGUGUAGCGGUGAAAUGCGCAGAUAUCAGGAGGAGCACCGGUGGCGAAGGCGGGUCUCUGGGCCGAUACUGACGCUGAGGAGCGAAAGCGUGGGGAGCGAAC